UAUUCCAAAAAAUCAACACCUGUGUAGAUGGCUCUGAUUGUCUAAACUUCAAGAAAUUUACAUACUUAAUGACGUCAUAAGUACACGUCAAACACGUGCACGAUGCCGUUAAAUAAAUGUGGAUGUCAAACAAAACUAACCUCAGAGAUAAUUGUUCGCUCAUUUUCUUUCAUAAUGUAACUCCAGCCAUUUUUACAAGCGGCGAGCGGUAUGAAGUCGCUUAGAUUUUGACCAAUAUCAAGCUUACAAUGAUGUUUUGUCUUUGCGCCGUAAAAUAUCAUAGAAAAAUGUGUUGAUAACAUUAUCAUAAAGUUGAAGCUUAUCAAUACGAAAAUAAAGCUUUGAAAUCUG
Molecule: long non-coding RNA, 351 nt
Organism: Xenia sp. Carnegie-2017
Lineage: Eukaryota; Metazoa; Cnidaria; Anthozoa; Malacalcyonacea; Xeniidae
Exons: 2
Source: RefSeq, a predicted model, not a curated record